This is a long non-coding RNA of Vicia villosa (hairy vetch), 279 nucleotides long. RefSeq lists it as uncharacterized. The transcript is spliced from 3 exons. NCBI's taxonomy places the organism in Eukaryota, Viridiplantae, Streptophyta, Magnoliopsida, Fabales, Fabaceae. The record is from RefSeq and is a predicted model, not a curated record.
GGUUUUUUUCUCUCGGUGAGCAACAGGACAACGAGAGUCAUCCUCUCUCUCACGAUGACUACAACAAAAAUCGACAUCUCUUCCUUGCUGUGAACAACAAACAAUCUCUCUCGGUUGCUCGCGUAAUAACAACGCUCAGUUAGGCUCUCUUCCUGUUUCGAUUUUGCCCGCGGUGAACAAAAGCUUCUGGCCUCUUUGAUUGAAGACAAACUCAAGAUAUAACAAUAAUUAGCAGAGGUUAAGAAUGAAGGCAGGAUCGACUUACCUAUGGCGAGGAGG